This 73-nucleotide transfer RNA is filed under the name Felis catus (domestic cat). It matches the Rfam family "tRNA". From Rfam's summary of the family: Transfer RNA (tRNA) molecules are approximately 80 nucleotides in length. Lineage: Eukaryota; Metazoa; Chordata; Mammalia; Carnivora; Felidae. RNAcentral also lists the same sequence under 4 other names. The record is from Rfam by way of RNAcentral.
GCCUUGCUGGCUCAGCCAGUAGAGCAUGUGACUUUUGAUCUCUGAAUGAUGAGUUCAAAUCCCAUGUUGGGCG